AUUGAACGCUGGCGGCAGGCCUAACACAUGCAAGUCGAGCGGAUGAAGGGAGCUUGCUCCUGGAUUCAGCGGCGGACGGGUGAGUAAUGCCUAGGAAUCUGCCUGGUAGUGGGGGAUAACGUCAGGAAACGGGCGCUAAUACCGCAUACGUCAUGAGGGAGAAAGUGGGGGAUCUUCGGACCUCACGCUAUCAGAUGAGCCUAGGUCGGAUUAGCUAGUUGGUGGGGUAAAGGCCUACCAAGGCGACGAUCCGUAACUGGUCUGAGAGGAUGAUCAGUCACACUGGAACUGAGACACGGUCCAGACUCCUACGGGAGGCAGCAGUAGGGAAUCUUGGACAAUGGGCGAAAGCCUGAUCCAGCCAUGCCGCGUGUGUGAAGAAGGUCUUCGGAUUGUAAAGCACUUUAAGUUGGGAGGAAGGGCAGUAAGUUAAUACCUUGCUGUUUUGACGUUACCAACAGAAUAAGCACCGGCUAACUUCGUG
Molecule: ribosomal RNA, 484 nt
Filed under: uncultured bacterium
Lineage: Bacteria
Description: partial 16S ribosomal RNA
Rfam family: Bacterial small subunit ribosomal RNA
Source: RNAcentral